Molecule: ribosomal RNA, 874 nt
Filed under: uncultured archaeon
Lineage: Archaea
Description: bacterial SSU rRNA
Rfam family: Archaeal small subunit ribosomal RNA
Source: RNAcentral
GGCUACCGCUAUUGGAGUUCGAUUAAGCCAUGCGAGUCUAGAGGCCUAGCCUCGGCGUACCGCUCAGUAACACGUGGGUAACCUACCCUAUGCUGGGGGAUAAGCUCGGGAAACUGAGAAUAAUACCCCAUAGUCCACUACGCCUGGAACGGUGAGUGGAUCAAAGCUCCGGCGGCAUAGGAUGGGCCUGCGGCGUAUCAGGUCGUAGGGGGUGUAACGUACCCUCUAGCCGUCCACGCGUACGGGUGUUGGGAGACAUUGCCCGGAGAUGGAUUCUGAGACACGAAUCCAGACCCUACGGGGUGCAGCAGGCGCGAAAACUUGGCAAUGCGAGAAAUCGUGACCAGGGAACUCCAAGUGGCAGGGGUAAGACCCUGUCUUUUUCCGACUCUAAAUAGGUCGGCGAAUAAGGGGUGGGUAAGGACGGUGCCAGCCGCCGCGGUAAUACCGGCGCCUCAAGUGGUAGUCGCUUUUAUUGGGCCUAAAACGUCCGUAGCCGGUCUGGUACAUUCGUGGGUAAAUCAACUCGCUUAACGAGUUGAAUUCUGCGAGGACGGCCAGACUUGGGACCGGGAGAGGUGUGGGGUACUCUCAGGGUAGGGGUAAAAUCCUGUCAUCCUGAGAGGACCACCUGUUGCGAAGGCUCCACACUAGAACGGAUCCGACGGUCAGGGACGAAGCCUAGGGGCACGAACCGGAUUAGAUACCCGGGUAGUCCUAGGUGUAAACGCUGUGGACUUGAUGUUGGGGACGCUCCGAGCGUUCUCAGUGUCGAAGCGAAGGUGAUAAGUCCACUGCCUGGGGAGUACGGUCGCAAGGCUGAAACUUAAAGGAAUUGGCGGGGGAGCACCGCAACCUGAGGAUUGUGCGGUUU